CUGCUGCCUUCCGUAGGAGUUUGGGCCGUGUCUCAGUCCCAAUGUGGCCGUUCACCCUCUCAGGCCGGCUACC
RNAcentral lists this ribosomal RNA (73 nucleotides) under uncultured bacterium. RNAcentral describes it as "partial 16S ribosomal RNA". The record is from RNAcentral.